RNAcentral lists this transfer RNA (55 nucleotides) under Leucobacter exalbidus. Its description in RNAcentral is "Leucobacter sp. K-540B tRNA". It matches the Rfam family "tRNA". From Rfam's summary of the family: Transfer RNA (tRNA) molecules are approximately 80 nucleotides in length. Their secondary structure includes four short double-helical elements and three loops (D, anti-codon, and T loops). The record is from Rfam by way of RNAcentral. Lineage: Bacteria; Bacillati; Actinomycetota; Actinomycetes; Micrococcales; Microbacteriaceae.
GGCUCUGCAGCUCAGUUGGCAGAGCGUUCGACUGAAAAUCGAAAGGUCAGAGCCA